Molecule: ribosomal RNA, 507 nt
Filed under: uncultured bacterium
Lineage: Bacteria
Description: partial 16S ribosomal RNA
Rfam family: Bacterial small subunit ribosomal RNA
Source: RNAcentral
ACGAACGCUGGCGGCGUGCCUCAUCCCUGCAAGUCGCACGCUUCUUUCCUCCCGAGUGCUUGCACUCACUUGGAGAGAGGAGUGGCGGACGGGUGAGUAACACGUGGGUAACCUACCCAUCAGAGGGGGAUAACACUUGGAAACAGGUGCUAAUACCGCAUAACAGUUUAUGCCGCAUGGCAUAAGAGUGAAAGGCGCUUUCGGGUGUCGUUGAUGGAUGGACCCGCGGUGCAUUAGCUAGUUGGUGAGGUAACGGCUCACCAAGGCCACGAUGCAUAGCCGACCUGAGAGGGUGAUCGGCCACACUGGGACUGGGACACGGCCCAGACUCCUACGGGAGGCAGCAGUAGGGAAUCUUCGGCAAUGGACGAAAGUCUGACCGAGCAACGCCGCGUGAGUGAAGAAGGUUUUCGGAUCGUAAAACUCUGUUGUUAGAGAAGAACAAGGACGUUAGUAACUGAACGUCCCCUGACGGUAUCUAACCAGAAAGCCACGGCUAACUACGUG